RNAcentral lists this ribosomal RNA (497 nucleotides) under uncultured bacterium. Its description in RNAcentral is "partial 16S ribosomal RNA". It matches the Rfam family "Bacterial small subunit ribosomal RNA", at positions 28 to 507 of the family's 1533-position model. The record is from RNAcentral.
GAUGAACGCUGGCGGCGUGCCUAAUACAUGCAAGUCGAGCGAACAGAUGAGGAGCUUGCUCCUCUGACGUUAGCGGCGGACGGGUGAGUAACACGUGGAUAACCUACCUAUAAGACUGGGAUAAUUUCGGGAAACCGGAGCUAAUACCGGAUAAUAUAUUGAACCGCAUGGUUCAAUAGUGAAAGACGGUUUUGCUGUCACUUAUAGAUGGAUCCGCGCCGCAUUAGCUAGUUGGUAAGGUAACGGCUUACCAAGGCAACGAUGCGUAGCCGACCUGAGAGGGUGAUCGGCCACACUGGAACUGAGACACGGUCCAGACUCCUACGGGAGGCAGCAGUAGGGAAUCUUCCGCAAUGGGCGAAAGCCUGACGGAGCAACGCCGCGUGAGUGAUGAAGGUCUUCGGAUCGUAAAACUCUGUUAUUAGGGAAGAACAAAUGUGUAAGUAACUGUGCACGUCUUGACGGUACCUAAUCAGAAAGCCACGGCUAACUACGUG